RNAcentral lists this ribosomal RNA (219 nucleotides) under uncultured bacterium. RNAcentral's name for it is "partial 16S ribosomal RNA". It matches the Rfam family "Bacterial small subunit ribosomal RNA", at positions 28 to 247 of the family's 1533-position model. The record is from RNAcentral.
GACGAACGCUGGCGGCGUGCUUAACACAUGCAAGUCGAGCGGUAAGGCCCGUUUCGGGGGUACACGAGCGGCGAACGGGUGAGUAACACGUGGGUGACCUGCCUUUAGCUCUGGGAUAAGCCUGGGAAACCGGGUCUAAUACCGGAUAUGACUCCGCGGCGCAUGUUGUGGGGUGGAAAGCCUUGUGCGGCUGGAGAUGGGCCCGCGGCCUAUCAGCUU